Molecule: ribosomal RNA, 436 nt
Filed under: uncultured bacterium
Lineage: Bacteria
Description: bacterial SSU rRNA
Rfam family: Bacterial small subunit ribosomal RNA
Source: RNAcentral
UGAGGAAUAUUGGUCAAUGGGCGAGAGCCUGAACCAGCCAAGUCGCGUGAGGGAAGACGGUCCUACGGAUUGUAAACCUCUUUUGUCGGGGAGCAAUAAAGCGUACGCGUACGCAGAUGCGAGUACCCGAAGAAAAAAUGCAUCGGCUAACUCCGUGCCAGCAGCCGCGGUAAUACGGAGGAUGCGAGCGUUAUCCGGAUUUAUUGGGUUUAAAGGGUGCGCAGGCGGAAAGUGCAAGUCAGCGGUCAAACGACGGGGCUCAACCCCGUCUCGCCGUUGAAACUGUCUUUCUAGAGUGAGCGAGAAGUAUGCGGAAUGCGUGGUGUAGCGGUGAAAUGCAUAGAUAUCACGCAGAACUCCGAUUGCGAAGGCAGCAUACCGGCGCUCAACUGACGCUCAUGCACGAAAGCGUGGGUAUCGAACAGGAUUAGAUACC